GGGCCCGACCUGGUUUCGACGGGAGUUCUGAUGUGCGCUUGGGGCAUGUCGAGGCGGUACACCUCGUUAAUCCUGCCAAAGCAAUUUAAUUGCAAACGAUAGCUUCUACGGCGAAAGCCGUCUCGCAGCCUAAUUAAAAACUAGGUUCGAGUGUUGCAGCAGGGGACGUGGACUCUGCGCCGAGCCGGGCAACUGGUAGAGCAGCAACAUCAUCUUCCCACGGGUAGGGCGCGCGGAUGUCUGCGACGUGCGCCCGAAAUCAAGUGGACUGGUUGGCGGCAAGGGGGCUCACGCUCGUGUCGUCGGCAAGAUCAAAUCAGAGAGAUAAGCAUGUAGUCCUGACCACAAAUGGCUUUCGGACGCGGGUUCGAUUCCCGCCGGGUCCACCA
RNAcentral lists this transfer-messenger RNA (389 nucleotides) under Burkholderiales bacterium. It matches the Rfam family "transfer-messenger RNA". Rfam says of the family: Bacterial tmRNA, also known as 10Sa RNA or SsrA, is named for its dual tRNA and mRNA-like properties. The record is from RNAcentral. RNAcentral also lists the same sequence under 2 other names. Lineage: Bacteria; Pseudomonadati; Pseudomonadota; Betaproteobacteria; Burkholderiales.